RNAcentral lists this ribosomal RNA (497 nucleotides) under uncultured bacterium. Its description in RNAcentral is "partial 16S ribosomal RNA". It matches the Rfam family "Bacterial small subunit ribosomal RNA", at positions 28 to 507 of the family's 1533-position model. The record is from RNAcentral.
GAUGAACGCUGGCGGCGUGCCUAAUACAUGCAAGUCGAGCGAACAGACGAGGAGCUUGCUCCUCUGACGUUAGCGGCGGACGGGUGAGUAACACGUGGAUAACCUACCUAUAAGACUGGGAUAACUUCGGGAAACCGGAGCUAAUACCGGAUAAUAUAUUGAACCGCAUGGUUCAAUAGUGAAAGACGGUUUUGCUGUCACUUAUAGAUGGAUCCGCGCCGCAUUAGCUAGUUGGUAAGGUAACGGCUUACCAAGGCGACGAUGCGUAGCCGACCUGAGAGGGUGAUCGGCCACACUGGAACUGAGACACGGUCCCUACUCCUACGGGAGGCAGCAGUAUGGAAUCUUCCGCAAUGGGCGAAAGCCUGACGGAGCCACGCCGCGUGAGUUAUGAAGGUCUUCGGAUCGUAAAACUCUGUUAUUAGGGAAGAACAAAUGUGUAAGUAACUAUGCACGUCUUGACGGUACCUAAUCAGAAAGCCACGGCUAACUACGUG